This is a long non-coding RNA of Athene cunicularia (burrowing owl), 641 nucleotides long. RefSeq lists it as uncharacterized. NCBI's taxonomy places the organism in Eukaryota, Metazoa, Chordata, Aves, Strigiformes, Strigidae. The transcript is spliced from 4 exons. The record is from RefSeq and is a predicted model, not a curated record.
UUGUCAGCACUAGAUGUCCUGGAUGGAGAUGUGGAAGAAUGGCCUUUUUAAUGGUGUCCAGGAGCUCAGCUGUUACAGAAUUUACCUGGAUCAAGUCUGAGAUAUUCCUGCCUGAAAGAAUUUCAGAUCAAGUUUCUAACCUUCCAGGGAAAUGACCUAUCCAGCAGGUACCAGGAUAUUCUUAUAGUGCAGAGACGGUAUCAGCUCCAGUUGUUAAGAAGUUCUCAUGUGCUGGAGAAAUGUGCCCCAGUCUGAGGAUGCUCAGCCAAUCUUCUUGCACAGGAGGUACUACUGCGAGGUGGAAGUGGCUCUGAACAGCAAGGUGAAGACUCUUAGACAUUUUAUGGAGAUAGCACAGCUGUAAGUUGCUAUCAAUUCAGCCAGAAGUCAAGCAAGGAAUGGAGCUCAGUUCUUCAGUUUAUCCAGUAAUGUACCUGCUAGAUUGCUUUACCUCUGAAGGAGAAGCCUACCUUGAUUUUCUCACUAAUAUUUGACCUGAUACCAACUAGCAACUGCAGCAAUUUCCAACAGCUGGCGGGAGCUGUCUGCAUUCCAAGUGUAUGGCUCUGGGUAGGCGCCUUCGGCGGUUGUGUGUGAGGCCUGAGAUACGGGAAGAGCAGCCGUGGCCUGAACCGGGCUCU